RNAcentral lists this ribosomal RNA (479 nucleotides) under uncultured anaerobic ammonium-oxidizing bacterium. Its description in RNAcentral is "bacterial SSU rRNA". It matches the Rfam family "Bacterial small subunit ribosomal RNA", at positions 364 to 833 of the family's 1533-position model. The record is from RNAcentral.
UUUCGCAAUGCCCGAAAGGGUGACGAAGCGACGCCGCGUGUGGGAAGAAGGCCUUCGGGUUGUAAACCACUGUCGGGAGUUAAGAAAUGUAAGGGUGUUAAUAGUAUCCUUACUUGACUAAGGCUCCGGAGGAAGCCACGGCUAACUCUGUGCCAGCAGCCGCGGUAAUACAGAGGUGGCAAGCGUUGUUCGGAAUUAUUGGGCGUAAAGAGCACGUAGGUGGGUUUGCAAGUCAGAUGUGAAAGCCUCCUGUUCAACGGGAGAAUUGCAUCUGAAACUGCAGAUCUUGAGUGUAGGAGGGGAGAAUGGAACUUCUGGUGGAGCGGUGAAAUGCGUAGAUAUCAGAAGGAACGCCGGCGGCGAAAGCGAUUCUCUGGCCUAUUACUGACACUCAGUGUGCGAAAGCUAGGGGAGCAAACGGGAUUAGAUACCCCGGUAGUCCUAGCCGUAAACGAUGGGCACUAAGUAGAGGGGUUUUA